GACGAACGCUGGCGGCGUGCUUAACACAUGCAAGUCGAACGGAAAGGCCCUUCGGGGUACUCGAGUGGCGAACGGGCGAGUAACACGUGGGCGAUCGGCCCUGCACUUUGGGAUAAGCCUGGGAAACUGGGUCUAAUACCGAAUAGGACCACGCGCUUCAGGGCGUGUGGUGGCAAGCGUUUGCGGUGUGGGAUGGGCCCGCGGCCGAUCAGCUCGUUGGUGGGGUAAUGGCCUGCCAAGUCGACGACGGGUAGCCGGCCUGAGAGGGUGACCGGCCACACUGGGACUGAGAUACGGCCCAGACUCCUACGGGAGGCAGCAGUGGGGAAUAUUGCACAAUGGGCGCAAGCCUGAUGCAGCGACGCCGCGUGAGGGAUGACGGCCUUCGGGUUGUAAACCUCUUUCAAUAGGGACGAAGCGCAAGUGACGGUACCUAUAGAAGAAGCACCGGCCAACUACGUG
This 462-nucleotide ribosomal RNA is filed under the name uncultured bacterium. RNAcentral describes it as "partial 16S ribosomal RNA". It matches the Rfam family "Bacterial small subunit ribosomal RNA", at positions 28 to 507 of the family's 1533-position model. The record is from RNAcentral.